UUAGUGACACCAUUCAGAGAGAUAAUGAUGGCUGUUGAUGGAGAAAAUGUGACUCUCUCCUGCAACUAUUCAGGCUCUGUCACCUACCUCUACUGGUAUCAGCAGAAAUCAGGUUCAUCUCCACAACUUCUCAUAGGACUACAGAUCUCCUCUGCUGCACUGACUGACUCUGCUGUGUACUACUGUGGUUGA
Labrus bergylta (ballan wrasse) is the source of this 192-nucleotide non-coding RNA. NCBI's taxonomy places the organism in Eukaryota, Metazoa, Chordata, Actinopteri, Labriformes, Labridae. The record is from the annotation of a RefSeq genome assembly.